CGGACUUCCGGCUGGUCUGCUGCGAUUCGGGAUCGGGGUUUCUUGGUAGGCGUCAGGGGCAGGCAACAGAGUGGCGGCCGCUACGGCCCUGGAACGGGGCCAUGGAGAAGCUGCGGCGAGUCCUGAGCGGCCAGGACGACGAGGAGCAGGGCCUGACCGCGCAGGUCCUGGAUGCCUCAUCCCUUAGUUUCAACACCAGAUUGAAAUGGUUUGCCAUCUGCUUCGUAUGUGGCGUUUUCUUUUCUAUUCUUGGAACUGGAUUGCUGUUUCUUCCGGGUGGCAUAAAGCUUUUUGCAGUGUUUUAUACCUUCGGCAAUCUUGCUGCGUUAGCCAGUACAUGCUUUUUGAUGGGACCUGUGAAGCAACUGAAGAAAAUGUUUGAAACAACAAGAUUGCUUGCAACAGUUAUUAUGCUGCUGUGUUUUGUAUUUACCCUGUGUGCUGCUCUUUGGUGGCAUAAGAAGGGACUGGCUGUGUUAUUCUGCAUAUUGCAGUUCUUGUCAAUGACCUGUUCCCAGAUGAUGCUGUCACUGCUGGUCGGGGUCACACUUUGAGAACCACUGUACAGUCUCAUGCUGCUGUAUUUAUUAUAAGGUUAGACAUGGCCUUUUGGCAUAAAGAAAAACCAUCAUUCAGAUGAAGAUUCAACAUGCUUGAAUAUUUCUUGCAGGUAUAGCCUGUCGUACAUCCCAUAUGCAAGGGAUGCAGUUAUCAAAUGCUGUUCUUCUCUCCUAAGUUGAAAAUCAGAAACUCGUGGAAAAGAGUACUUGAAUGUUGAUACUCUAUGUUUGGUGAAGUUUGCUUUUCCCCAUAAAAUACUCCAGAAACAACUGAAGUGACAGUUGAAGACCAUUUUGUACUAAGUCUCAUUUUGUUUACUGGUAAAAACUACAUGCUUGAUUAAACCAUUAAAUGCUUGUAACUUUAAAUUCAUUAUGUGUCAUUAAUACGCUUUUCCAAAGAUAAGAUUUUUAAUCACUGCCAGUUGUAAAUUAUUUUUAGCCAAUUUUUAAAUCUUUUCAAAACAGCUUUGAAAUGUGAAUAUUUAAGGGUAGACCUGUGCUGCAAGAUAAUUAAGCUUUUUUGGCUUUUAAAAAAGUCUGCAUUUUUAAGUUUUUUUUUUUUUUACUUUAAAUGUGAAACUUAUUUUAAGCUAAAAAUUGCUUAUUAUAUGUAAUAAAAAUGAUAUAUAAAUCUUUACAAUUUUGAAAUAAACCCAUCCUUGGAAAAAUAA
This is an RNA transcript of Symphalangus syndactylus (siamang), 1234 nucleotides long. It is a transcript of the gene named SFT2 domain containing 1, with no coding region annotated. The record is from RefSeq and is a predicted model, not a curated record. NCBI's taxonomy places the organism in Eukaryota, Metazoa, Chordata, Mammalia, Primates, Hylobatidae.